CAGGAAAAAAAGCUUUCCACUCCAUCGACUGUGUCAGAGGUCGCUGGACAUUCUCAUAGUCCAACGAGGCUUUCGCUAUGAAUGCCAUUAGCUUAAUGUAUCCGUAUCAAAAAUCAAUUCCAUCACCCAUGAAGUGCAUUGACUUGUUGACCAGUUCAAUUGAUUUGAGUUAUUUACAGCUCAAGUUGGGACUGACACAUGCGAUCGCCCCGUCAACCUGGAUCUGAUCACGUCUCCUCUCUGACGUCGCGUUCCUCAAAUACAUCGAAGGAUGCAAGCACCAUUUGGAAUGCGGUGCCUGCGAGCGCGUAGGACUCAAGUCCGUUUCCUGGGGUUUUCCGAGAAAAAAUAAAUCUUCACCCUCUCUCCUCCCGCUGCCAUAUGUGAAAGGGCCGCGCUCGUGACUCCUGUGGUGAAGUCGGAGAAAGAGCACGGAUGGAGCCCUGUGUCAUGUCUGUGAUGUGUCAGUGCGUCUGUACACCACUCCAGGGACUGCAGGAUUACUUUACAAACUGAGCCUCACAGAGGCCUGCCUGACUGCUCCUGAACAAUACAGUAGUUCAUUCAGGGACUAACUCCGGCCAUCUCUCACUGUGAUACAAAUCAAGGCUUUGUAAGUCCCUGCAGAGACGAGGAGGAAGGAAAAAAUGGUGUUAUGUUGUGUUU
Long non-coding RNA from Acanthopagrus latus (yellowfin seabream), 666 nucleotides. RefSeq lists it as uncharacterized. The transcript has 3 exons. Lineage: Eukaryota; Metazoa; Chordata; Actinopteri; Spariformes; Sparidae. The record is from RefSeq and is a predicted model, not a curated record.